This 626-nucleotide small RNA is filed under the name Pan troglodytes (chimpanzee). Its description in RNAcentral is "retained intron". Lineage: Eukaryota; Metazoa; Chordata; Mammalia; Primates; Hominidae. The record is from RNAcentral.
UGUUGCGGGGCGCGCGCCAGCCUGGGUGCCUGUAUGCGCUCGAGGCGGGGGCGCGGGUUGCGGACGGAGGCGCGGGAGGCGGUUCUGCGCGGCGGGGGCGAGAAUGGACCAAUGGUGCCACGGAGCACAUCGCUGACGGCUGAUUGUGUUCCUUUUCCACAGAUUGUCUAAAGCCCCAGGAAAAAUGGUGGAAAAUUCACCGUCGCCAUUGCCAGAAAGAGCGAUUUAUGGCUUUGUCCUUUUCUUAAGCUCCCAAUUUGGCUUCAUACUUUACCUCGUGUGGGCCUUUAUUCCUGAAUCUUGGCUAAACUCUUUAGGUUUAACCUAUUGGCCUCAAAAGUAAGUUUAAUAUAUUUCUUAAAUGAGGAUAUAAUUAAUGCUGUUUUGGGGAGUCAUAUCAUUUCUUAAACCUACCCAAAUCUUAAAUAUUUGUUCUCUUAAAAUUCAUGAAUAGCCAUAUAGAAAUUGAAAGCUUUUUAAAGAUCGCUAUUGAUACAUCUCUAAUUAAAGAUGGUAGCAUGAACACACAUGUGUAUCUCCAUCCAUUUCCUCCAAAAAUCUUGUUAAAAUGACCCUACAGGAAAAAAAAAAAAAAAACUGAAGAUACAAACCACAGAAACAAUAGU